This 21-nucleotide non-coding RNA is filed under the name Caenorhabditis elegans. Lineage: Eukaryota; Metazoa; Nematoda; Chromadorea; Rhabditida; Rhabditidae. The record is from RNAcentral.
UUUCCAUUGCGUGUUUUUAAA